This is a long non-coding RNA of Onychostoma macrolepis, 807 nucleotides long. RefSeq lists it as uncharacterized. The record is from RefSeq and is a predicted model, not a curated record. Lineage: Eukaryota; Metazoa; Chordata; Actinopteri; Cypriniformes; Cyprinidae. The transcript has 3 exons.
GCAAAAUUUUACAGAAUUUUACUGUUUAAACAUUUUACAAGAUGUAGCUGUAAUUCGCAAUGCAUUAUGGGUCAAAUAAGGUUUUACAGUUGUUAACUGUAUAUUUCCAUGUCAACUGUAAUUAAUUUACAAGAAGCAGGUGUUAUCACUGUAGCUCCUGCUUUUUACACUACUUUACUGUAGUGUGGCAUUAUGGGAUUGCUUGCGCAUCGUUCAAAUCUGAAAUCCAGCCGACUGGAGCAGUGCCAGAACGAUUGAAGAUUAGAGGCUUUAUUCAUAAUUCCUGGUGCAAAGAAUAGCAGAUGAUGUGGAGAAAUGUUUGAUGUUUCAAGACUCUCUGAAGCUGAUUAUAUUAGGUGCACCCAGUGGUUUUUGACUAGGCCUAUUCGAGGGUCACAUGGUUGUGAAUUCACACCUCAACUUUGCGGCUGGAUUUUCAAUCUUAUUACAACUUCAGCCUGGCGUCCCGGGAGCAGGCGUCUUUUGCACACUUGAAUUAAUUUCAAAGGUAACAUGUUUUACUUGAGUAAUUUCAUUUGUGAAAAAGAUUACUUAUUUAGUUUAAGCACUGGUAAAUGCUGAUUGUAUUGUAAAAGUGGCAUUUUUACAUUUAUUUUAUUGAGCUAGUUUCAUUCAAUACUGAACUUUAUUCUAAAGCUUCUGCUUGUUUUUAUGUGCAGAUGUUUUGUUGGAAUCACAACACUCACUGGAUACAAGACGGAUACAUAGAGGCAAAACAAGUGGAAAGGUCUCAGAGAAGAGGAACAACCCUCGUGUGUGCUCAUCUCAGAAAGUUGAUGGACUUUC